GACGAACGCUGGCGGCGUGCUUAACACAUGCAAGUCGAACGCACGGCCUUGGGGUUUUCUUGGGGUUGGUGAGUGGCGAACGGGUGAGUAACACGUGAGUAACCUGCCCUCUUCUUUGGGAUAACGGUCGGAAACGGCUGCUAAUACUGGAUAUUCACACAUUGUCGCAUGGUGGUGUGUGGAAAGGUUUUUUCUGGUGGGGGAUGGGCUCGCGGCCUAUUAGCUAGUUGGUGAGGUAACGGCUCACCAAGGCGACGAUCAGUAGCCGGUCUGAGAGGAUGAACGGCCACAUUGGGACUGAGAUACGGCCCAG
RNAcentral lists this ribosomal RNA (313 nucleotides) under uncultured bacterium. Its description in RNAcentral is "bacterial SSU rRNA". It matches the Rfam family "Bacterial small subunit ribosomal RNA", at positions 28 to 334 of the family's 1533-position model. The record is from RNAcentral.